RNAcentral lists this ribosomal RNA (407 nucleotides) under uncultured bacterium. Its description in RNAcentral is "bacterial SSU rRNA". It matches the Rfam family "Bacterial small subunit ribosomal RNA", at positions 355 to 776 of the family's 1533-position model. The record is from RNAcentral.
UGGGGAAUAUUGCACAAUGGGCGAAAGCCUGAUGCAGCGACGCCGCGUGAGGGAAGAAGGUUUUCGGAUCGUAAACCUCUGUCCAGAGGGAAGAAGGAAGUGACGGUACCUUUGGAGGAAGCCCCGGCUAACUACGUGCCAGCAGCCGCGGUAAUACGUAGGGGGCGAGCGUUGUCCGGAAUUAUUGGGCGUAAAGGGCGCGUAGGCGGUGACACAAGUCAGGUGAUAAAGGCACGGGCUCAACCGGUGUUAGGCACUUGAUACUGUGUUGCUAGAGUGCAGGAGAGGGGAGUGGAAUUCCAGGUGUAGCGGUGAAAUGCGUAGAUAUCUGGAAGAACACCAGUGGCGAAGGCGGCUCUCUGGACUGCAACUGACGCUGAGGCGCGAAAGCUGGGGGAGCAAACAGG